AGUGAACGCUGGCGGUAGGCCUAACACAUGCAAGUCGAACGGCAGCACAGUAAGAGCUUGCUCUUACGGGUGGCGAGUGGCGGACGGGUGAGGAAUACAUCGGAAUCUACUUUUUCGUGGGGGAUAACGUAGGGAAACUUACGCUAAUACCGCAUACGACCUACGGGUGAAAGCAGGGGAUCUUCGGACCUUGCGCGAUUGAAUGAGCCGAUGUCGGAUUAGCUAGUUGGCGGGGUAAAGGCCCACCAAGGCGACGAUCCGUAGCUGGUCUGAGAGGAUGGUCGGCCACACUGGAACUGAGACACGGUCCAGACUCCUACGGGAGGCAGCAGUGGGGAAUAUUGGACAAUGGGCGCAAGCCUGAUCCAGCCAUACCGCGUGGGUGAAGAAGGCCUUCGGGUUGUAAAGCCCCUUUGUUGGGAAAGAAAAGCAGCAGGUUAAUACCCCGCUGUUCUGACGGUACCCAAAGAAUAAGCACCGGCUAACUUCGUG
Molecule: ribosomal RNA, 492 nt
Filed under: uncultured bacterium
Lineage: Bacteria
Description: partial 16S ribosomal RNA
Rfam family: Bacterial small subunit ribosomal RNA
Source: RNAcentral